Molecule: ribosomal RNA, 117 nt
Organism: Danio rerio (zebrafish)
Lineage: Eukaryota; Metazoa; Chordata; Actinopteri; Cypriniformes; Danionidae
Source: Ensembl
CGCGGCAGCUAGCUCUCUGCAACUCUCACAUGGAGAGAGCUAAGCAGGCUAAGCAGGGCUGUGCCCGGUCAGUACCUAAAUGGGAGACCACAUGGGAAAGCUAGGUUGCUGCCGGAA